RNAcentral lists this ribosomal RNA (426 nucleotides) under uncultured beta proteobacterium. RNAcentral describes it as "bacterial SSU rRNA". It matches the Rfam family "Bacterial small subunit ribosomal RNA", at positions 356 to 774 of the family's 1533-position model. Lineage: Bacteria; Pseudomonadati; Pseudomonadota; Betaproteobacteria. The record is from RNAcentral.
GGGGAAUUUUGGACAAAGGGGGCAACCCUGAUCCAGCCAUGCCGCGUGAGUGAAGAAGGCCUUCGCGUUGUAAAGCUCUUUCGGACGGAAAGAAAACGGAUGGGUUAAUACCCUGUUCGGAUGACGGUACCGUCAUAAGAAGCACCGGCUAACUACGUGCCAGCAGCCGCGGUAAUACGUAGGGUGCGAGCGUUAAUCGGAAUUACUGGGCGUAAAGCGUGCGCAGGCGGUUGAUUAAGACAGGCGUGAAAUCCCCGGGCUUAACCUGGGAACUGAGCUUGGGACUGGUCGGCUAGAGUACGGCAGAGGGGGGUGGAAUUCCACGUGUAGCAGUGAAAUGCAUAGAUAUAACGAGGAACUCCGAUUGCGUAGGCAGCUUACUAAGCCAUAACUGACGCUCAUGCACGAAAGCGUGGGGAUCAAACA